GAAGGAUCUCUGAUUGGAGAUCCUUUUGUUGUGGAGUUUUUUUCCAGGGAGCCUUGAGCUUUGGAGAUGGAUGAGUACUUUCACAUUUGGAAUACUUUCCAUUGUGCUAGUCUUUUCUUCAUUACAUUUUCUGAAUUGUCAUUGUACUGCGUUGGUCUUUCUGUUUGUUAUGGUAUCCAAUUUAUGAGGUGAAAGUUAGCUUUUUAUAAUAAUGUCUUUCCCGUCCCACAGUAAGGCAAUAAAAACAUCAAGUCCAAAGGGAUGAAGAGAUUUGACCUAGUCUUUGAUUCCCCAGAGAUAUUAAAUUUCUCAGGUAAAGACAGCUCAGCUAGUACAGCUGUUCAUCUUCCCAGAGGACUGAGGAGUCGAGGCCUCCAUUUAUUUUUCAGCAGAUGGGUUUUACUGAAGAAUCGUGAUGAAGUACAGUCUCGUGAGUGCUGUCAGGAAAAGGAGCCAUGAAAUACCGUUUAAUAUCCAGAAGAGUCCCAGGAAUGAUGUUGAAGACCCAAUGAUGUUUAUUUUUGAGGGGCCAACAACAGCCUUCUGAGACUUUACGUAGGCUUAUUUUAGUCUGAUACAGUUCUCCAGGGCGGCUAUUGUGUUUUGAAAUGAAAUUGGGCUGUAUGAGAUUCCACCCCUUCUCCUUUUGUCUACUCAAAGCUAGCGAGCGUGGAGAAAUUGUGAGCCGUGAGAGACAGAACAUAAGGAACAUGUUGGCUUUGAAGCCCAGUUGUCCACAGGAGUUCCUGCACCUAUGGUACUGUUCGCCAUGUUUGUGCUGGUCCAUGUGCACGCUAUCCGGUCUUGCUCUGCUAAAAUGUGUUCUAACUGUAUGA
RNAcentral lists this long non-coding RNA (836 nucleotides) under Phasianus colchicus (ring-necked pheasant). RNAcentral describes it as "lncRNA (ENSPCLG00000012777.1)". The record is from RNAcentral. Lineage: Eukaryota; Metazoa; Chordata; Aves; Galliformes; Phasianidae.